AAGUCGUAACAAGGUCUCCGUUGGUGAACCAGCGGAGGGAUCAUUAUAGAGUUUUCUAAACUCCCAAACCCAUGUGAACUUACCAUUGUUGCCUCGGCAGAGCCUACCCGGUACCUACCCUGGAACUAGCUACCCUGUAGCUACCCAGGAACGGGCUACCCUGUAGCGUCCUGCCGGUGGACUUCUAAACUCUUGUUAUUUAUAGUAAUCUGAGCGUCUUAUUUUAAUAAGUCAAAACUUUCAACAACGGAUCUCUUGGUUCUG
Molecule: unclassified non-coding RNA, 264 nt
Filed under: Robillarda sessilis
Lineage: Eukaryota; Fungi; Ascomycota; Sordariomycetes; Amphisphaeriales; Sporocadaceae
Description: partial internal transcribed spacer region
Rfam family: Eukaryotic small subunit ribosomal RNA (bases 1-46)
Source: RNAcentral